RNAcentral lists this ribosomal RNA (247 nucleotides) under uncultured bacterium. RNAcentral's name for it is "partial 16S ribosomal RNA". It matches the Rfam family "Bacterial small subunit ribosomal RNA", at positions 523 to 769 of the family's 1533-position model. The record is from RNAcentral.
AUACGUAUGGUGCAAGCGUUAUCCGGAUUUACUGGGUGUAAAGGGAGCGCAGGCGGCGCGGCAAGUCUGAUGUGAAAGCCCGGGGCUCAACCCCGGUACUGCAUUGGAAACUGUCGUGCUAGAGUGUCGGAGGGGUAAGCGGAAUUCCUAGUGUAGCGGUGAAAUGCGUAGAUAUUAGGAGGAACACCAGUGGCGAAGGCGAUUUGCUGGGCUAUUACUGACGUUCAUGCACGAAAGCGUGGGGAGC